RNAcentral lists this long non-coding RNA (354 nucleotides) under Capsella grandiflora. RNAcentral describes it as "long non-coding RNA (CGRA_LNC000950)". The record is from RNAcentral. Lineage: Eukaryota; Viridiplantae; Streptophyta; Magnoliopsida; Brassicales; Brassicaceae.
AAUCGGAAUACAAGAAGAAGAGGUCAGAAAGCAAAAAUAGAUACAAGGAACAAAAUAUCGAUUACUUACAUUUUCAGAUGAUAGAUUCUUCAGUCUUCCUAUAACUAAGCUCCUAGGUUCCAAUUAUCUCGAUGUAAUCUUCUUCUUCUUCUAUAAUGAUUUGAUUUUGAUCUGUAUUUAUCUUGUUGAAAGAUUAAUCAUAUCAAUAGAUAGUAGAAAACAAAAAAAUUCUCAUUUUUUUUUUUUUUGCCGGCAACAAAAAAAUUCUCAUUAUAAAGUCAAAAUUCUAUUUUAUACGGUAAAUGAUAAGCAACAUGCUGCAAAACUUUGUCCAAAAUUAUCUUUAAUACCUUU